This 466-nucleotide ribosomal RNA is filed under the name uncultured bacterium. RNAcentral describes it as "partial 16S ribosomal RNA". It matches the Rfam family "Bacterial small subunit ribosomal RNA", at positions 28 to 507 of the family's 1533-position model. The record is from RNAcentral.
GAUGAACGCUGGCGGCGUGCUUAACACAUGCAAGUCGAACGGUGAAAGAGAGCUUGCUCUCUGGAUCAGUGGCGAACGGGUGAGUAACACGUGAGCAAUCUGCCCCUGACUCUGGGAUAAGCGCUGGAAACGGCGUCUAAUACCGGAUACGAGCUGCGAAGGCAUCUUCAGCAGCUGGAAAGAACUUCGGUCAGGGAUGAGCUCGCGGCCUAUCAGCUAGUUGGUGAGGUAACGGCUCGCCAAGGCGUCGACGGGUAGCCGGCCUGAGAGGGUGACCGGCCACACUGGGACUGAGACACGGCCCAGACUCCUACGGGAGGGAGCAGUGGGGAAUAUUGCACAAUGGGCGAAAGCCUGAUGCAGCAACGCCGCGUGAGGGACGACGGCCUUCGGGUUGUAAACCUCUUUUAGCAGGGAAGAAGCGAAAGUGACGGUACCUGCAGAAAAAGCACCGGCUAACUACGUG